CAAUAUAAUACAAGAGUUCACAUUACAUAAAACAACCCCCUCUCAUCUUCCUCCCCCAACCAAGACUCCUUCCAUAAUUUUUCCUUUAAUUUUUAUUAGAUUGCAAUUUAAAGAUUCUCAGCUGAAAAACCCAUAUUUUCUCUUCUUUAAUGUUCGUCGAAAUUUCUGCUGUUUAAGAGGUUCUUGUUGAGAUUCUGAGAUAUAGACUCAUUCGGAUUUUUAUUUUUAUUUUUUAAAAUUAGUAUUGUUAUUUUUAAAUUUUCUGUAGAAUUUUCUCUGGGUUUAUUGUAGAAAUCCAUUAUAAAAACACGGUGGCAUAUAUGCUAUAAAGGGCUAAAAGAUUAACUGAACCUAUAUAUUUCUUGUACAUUUUUGUUCCAAAAAGGCUUUUUCUCCAGAAUUUGCAAUUUUUUUUUUGUGCCUUUUCUCUGUCGAAUUUAUCUAAAAUUUAGUAUUUUGGAAAUAAAGGAGGAAAAAAGAAACAGAAAGACAUGGGAAAGCAAGGACCUUGCUACCACUGUGGUGUUACUAGCACCCCUCUUUGGCGUAAUGGUCCCCCCGAGAAACCAGUUUUAUGCAAUGCAUGUGGUUCUCGGUGGAGAACAAAGGGAACAUUGGCAAACUAUUUUCCUCUACAUGCUAGGUCAGAACCUAAUGGCUUUGAGGACUAUAAGGUUUUGAAGGUGAAGAACAUAUCUAUGAAUGACAAAGCGAACAUUCUCAAACGAAAAAAAGAAAA
Molecule: long non-coding RNA, 739 nt
Organism: Olea europaea var. sylvestris
Lineage: Eukaryota; Viridiplantae; Streptophyta; Magnoliopsida; Lamiales; Oleaceae
Exons: 2
Source: RefSeq, a predicted model, not a curated record